GCGGUGCCCUGAAUGGCUGGCAAGGCGGCGAUGCUGAUGAUGUGGAGCCGUUCCAUUUGCCACUGCUGGGGAUAGGGUGCCACAGUGAUGAGAUGUUAACUACCUCGCCUGGUCUACAGGAGGCAGUGGGUUCAGAUCCCGACCCUGACGCCUGCUGCUGUAUAUUUGGAGUUUGCGUCUCUCUCUCUCAUCAUCAUCACGGUGGCUAAGGGAUGUUAUCUACCUCGCCUGGUCUGCAGGAGGUCGUGGGUUCGAUCCCGACCCUGAUCGAACAAAAUUUUCCGUCAUCACCCCCCCCCCUCUCUCCCCGGGACGUCGGGAAAAUGAAAAUGAAAAAAAAAUAUGUUUUUCGACGGGACGGCUGUGUGUAAGUUGGAGUCAAACGAAAACAAAACUCGGCCAAAUUGUCGUAUGUUCGAGAUACACACACACACACACACGGGUUAAACACAGUAUGCAGGCUGUUUUAUUUUCUCUAUAUAAUGUGUAAUUUUAUAAGCGCUGCCUAACGAGGUAUUUAGUUUCACGUUGGUGUAAAAACCAAAUGUGAACUUUGGGACGCUUCCAUUUGUCUUCGGCAGCCAAAGUUGACCGAGCGGGUGGGCGAGUGAUCGAGCGAAGUUCGCGUGUAAAUUGUUUGCAAGUCUUAUUAAAAUCUUGGAGAUUAAA
Lethenteron reissneri (Far Eastern brook lamprey) is the source of this 669-nucleotide long non-coding RNA. RefSeq lists it as uncharacterized. The record is from RefSeq and is a predicted model, not a curated record. NCBI's taxonomy places the organism in Eukaryota, Metazoa, Chordata, Hyperoartia, Petromyzontiformes, Petromyzontidae.